Molecule: ribosomal RNA, 188 nt
Filed under: uncultured Pseudomonas sp.
Lineage: Bacteria; Pseudomonadati; Pseudomonadota; Gammaproteobacteria; Pseudomonadales; Pseudomonadaceae
Description: partial 16S ribosomal RNA
Rfam family: Bacterial small subunit ribosomal RNA
Source: RNAcentral
AUGAUUUUCGGCAUACCCUUUGUCCUUAUUUUUCCUGCACGUUAUGGUUGGGCACUCUAAGGAUACUGCCGGUGACAAACCGGAGGAAGGUGGGGAUGACGUCAAGUCAUCAUGGCCCUUACGGCCUGGGCUACACACGUGCUACAAUGGUCGGUACAGAGGGUUGCCAAGCCGCGAGGUGGAGCUAA